GCCUGGAUAGCUCAGUCGGUUAGAGUGUGGUGCUGAUAACGCCAAGGUUGCAGCUUUGAUCCCUGUGUGGGGCA
This is a non-coding RNA of Podarcis lilfordi (Lilford's wall lizard), 74 nucleotides long. The record is from the annotation of a GenBank genome assembly. NCBI's taxonomy places the organism in Eukaryota, Metazoa, Chordata, Lepidosauria, Squamata, Lacertidae.